CGAGCUUCCAUAAUACCAUCCGGACUUCUCCGACAAUGAGCUUCUCCAUUCAUCUACCAGACUGCUCCAAACGCUCUCUAAACUUCACUUUCAGCUGAUUCUCUACAGUGGUCGACUAUUCUUUGAAUCCCUUCCAGACUUCUCCCGGCCACGGAUGACUUUACUCCAAACUUCCUCCGAGCUUCGUCAAUGAUCGAGCUUCUUCAACAGUAGGACUUCUAUAGUAACCAGACUCCAUCC
This 240-nucleotide long non-coding RNA is filed under the name Elaeis guineensis (African oil palm). RNAcentral's name for it is "long non-coding RNA (EGUI_LNC012658)". Lineage: Eukaryota; Viridiplantae; Streptophyta; Magnoliopsida; Arecales; Arecaceae. The record is from RNAcentral.